UACGUAGGGGGCAAGCGUUGUCCGGAAUCAUUGGGCGUAAAGCGCGUGUAGGCGGCUCGAUAAGUCUGCUGUGAAAGUCCAGGGCUCAACCCUGGGAUGCCGGUGGAUACUGUCGAGCUCGAGUCCGGAAGAGGCGAGUGGAAUUCCUGGUGUAGCGGUGGAAUGCGCAGAUAUCAGGAGGAACACCGAUAGCGAAGGCAGCUCGCUGGGACGGUACUGACGCUGAGGCGCGAAAGCGUGGGGAGCGAACAGG
This 253-nucleotide ribosomal RNA is filed under the name uncultured bacterium. RNAcentral's name for it is "partial 16S ribosomal RNA". It matches the Rfam family "Bacterial small subunit ribosomal RNA", at positions 524 to 776 of the family's 1533-position model. The record is from RNAcentral.